Molecule: ribosomal RNA, 484 nt
Filed under: uncultured bacterium
Lineage: Bacteria
Description: partial 16S ribosomal RNA
Rfam family: Bacterial small subunit ribosomal RNA
Source: RNAcentral
AUUGAACGCUGGCGGCAGGCCUAACACAUGCAAGUCGAGCGGAUGAAGGGAGCUUGCUCCUCGAUUCAGCGGCGGACGGGUGGGUAAUGCCUAGGAAUCUGCCUGGUCGUGGGGGCUAACGUCCGGAAACGGGCGCUAAUACCGCAUACGUCCUGAGGGUGAAAGUGGGGGAUCUUCGGACCACACGCUAUCAGAUGAGCCUAGUUCGCAUUAGCUAGUUGGUGGGGUAAAGGCCUACCAAGGCGACGAUCCGUAACUGGUCUGAGAGGAUGAUCAGUCACACUGGAACUGAGACACGGUCCAGACUCCUACGGGAGGCAGCAGUAGGGAAUAUUGCACAAUGGGCGAAAGCCUGAUCCAGCCAUGCCGCGUGUGUGAUGAAGGUCUUCGGAUUGUAAAGCACUUUAAGUUGGGAGGAAGGGAAGUAAGUUAAUACCUUCCUGUUUUGACGGUACCAACAGAAUAAGCACCGGCUAACUUCGUG